Molecule: unclassified non-coding RNA, 607 nt
Filed under: Octopus sinensis (East Asian common octopus)
Lineage: Eukaryota; Metazoa; Mollusca; Cephalopoda; Octopoda; Octopodidae
Description: putative protein TPRXL, transcript variant X11
Source: RNAcentral
AUUUUAUUUUUCAAAUAUUUUUUAAAAAAUCAUUUACCAAGCGGUUCAUUGAAUAGUUUUCUCUUGUACACGUGUAAAGAAAACUCGGGAAACUGGGCUUGCAUAUGUUUGAUCGUAAAUUACUUUUAUUAAUACACACGUACAUUUCCAGAUAAACGCAAUCACAGGUGUGAUUAUUUAACCAUGCUACAAGUUGCAGUAUACUACGAAGUAAUUUCUUAGGAAAAUAUGAUUUCACGGCUGAGAUCAGAAACAUCGCCUCAGGGUCCCAGCAGACAAAAAGGAAAAGACGUUGCCCGGAGGAUGGCGAGGGAGAUUCACUGCAACAGCCACUCUGACUCACGGGACUCGCACUUUUAUCGUUCAAAUAUGAAAUGGAGAAAAGAUGGUGAAAAACAGAAUUCAUAGAGUCAAAUAAAAUGACCUGAUGAAACAAGUAUCAGCAACAUACUGAAAUUCGAUUCACCAGAGUAUGCUCCUCCUCUGUUAGAUGCGUCGCUGUAAGAAACCAGCAUUACUUACUUGAGAUGAGGGAUCUUUUCGGUUUGAACGGCAGUUUUUAACAUAAUUUCUAGGUAACUAAAAAAUUUUAACUUCGUAUACUGGU